GACGAACGCUGGCGGCGUGCUUAACACAUGCAAGUCGAACGGAAAGGCCCUGCUUGCAGGGUACUCGAGUGGCGAACGGGUGAGUAACACGUGGGUGAUCUGCCCUGCACUUCGGGAUAAGCUUGGGAAACUGGGUCUAAUACCGGAUAGGAACCAUCUUUAGUGUGGUGGUUGGAAAGUUUUUUCGGUGUAGGAUGAGCUCGCGGCCUAUCAGCUUGUUGGUGGGGUAAUGGCCUACCAAGGCGGCGACGGGUAGCCGGCCUGAGAGGGUGUACGGCCACAUUGGGACUGAGAUACGGGCCAGACUCCUACGGGAGGCAGCAGUGGGGAAUAUUGCACAAUGGGCGCAAGCCUGAUGCAGCGACGCCGCGUGGGGGAUGAAGGCCUUCGGGUUGUAAACUCCUUUCGCUAGGGACGAAGCUUUGUUGUGACGGUACCUAGAUAAGAAGCACCGGCUAACUACGUG
RNAcentral lists this ribosomal RNA (466 nucleotides) under uncultured bacterium. RNAcentral describes it as "partial 16S ribosomal RNA". It matches the Rfam family "Bacterial small subunit ribosomal RNA", at positions 28 to 507 of the family's 1533-position model. The record is from RNAcentral.